GGGUGGGCAAAGUUGGAGUUCUUCAGGUAGGUGAAAAGUUCUAGAGCAGGUUUUCGCACCAUGACACAGGCUUCCUGGAAGGUCUUAAUCUGCUGCUGGAAACGAUAGGGCAGCCCAUGUGGGAAAACAGCCUUCACCUCCUCCAGAGGAAUGCUGUAAUGGCGACCCUCGUGCUGUUCACUGUGCUGGGCCGGGUCACUCUCGUUGGUAUAGAAGAUUGCUCUUGGUUUUUCUGCUGGGGUCUGGACAUCCUGGCUGACAACAGAACUGAAGCAAUCCUUGGCUGCCGUGUGGAGAGCGUACCCAUGGUCCAACUUCAAAGGACGGCAGAUGAACCCUUUCACGCUUCUCAGCAUUUUGUCGCCGGCAGCCGCCGCACCGCGCCGCGCUGACAGGAUCCCCGCGAGAGCGGGCCGAACGCGGCGCUACGGCUGCCGGGAAGGGACAAAAAGCGCAGCGCGAACGCGGCCCGACCCAACCCGAGAGCUCCGGCCGCUUCUCGCGUCGCCCCCC
This 513-nucleotide long non-coding RNA is filed under the name Gallus gallus (chicken). Lineage: Eukaryota; Metazoa; Chordata; Aves; Galliformes; Phasianidae. The record is from RNAcentral.